UCGGGAAUAUUGGACAAUGGGCGCAAGCCUGAUCCAGCCAUGCCGCGUGAGUGAUGAAGGCCCUAGGGUUGUAAAGCUCUUUCACCGGUGAAGAUAAUGACGGUAACCGGAGAAGAAGCCCCGGCUAACUUCGUGCCAGCAGCCGCGGUAAUACGAAGGGGGCUAGCGUUGUUCGGAUUUACUGGGCGUAAAGCGCACGUAGGCGGACUUUUAAGUCAGGGGUGAAAUCCCGGGGCUCAACCCCGGAACUGCCUUUGAUACUGGAAGUCUUGAGUAUGGUAGAGGUGAGUGGAAUUCCGAGUGUAGAGGUGAAAUUCGUAGAUAUUCGGAGGAACACCAGUGGCGAAGGCGGCUCACUGGACCAUUACUGACGCUGAGGUGCGAAAGCGUGGGGAGCAAACAGG
Molecule: ribosomal RNA, 404 nt
Filed under: Actinomycetes bacterium
Lineage: Bacteria; Bacillati; Actinomycetota; Actinomycetes
Description: Actinobacteria bacterium partial 16S ribosomal RNA
Rfam family: Bacterial small subunit ribosomal RNA
Source: RNAcentral